UGGGGAAUAUUGGACAAUGGGCGAAAGCCUGAUCCAGCCAUGCCGCGUGUGUGACGAAGGUCUUCGGAUUGUAAAGCAUUUUAAGUUGGGAGGAAGGGCAGUAAGCGAAUACCUUGCUGUUUUGACGUUACCGACAGAAUAAGCACCGGCUAACUCUGUGCCAGCAGCCGCGGUAAUACAGAGGGUGCAAGCGUUAAUCGGAUUUACUGGGCGUAAAGCGUGCGUAGGCGGCUAAUUGAGUCGGAUGUGAAAUCCCCGAGCUUAACUUGGGAAUUGCAUUCGAGACUGGUUAGCUAGAGUGUGGGAGAGGAUGGUAGAAUUCCAGGUGUAGCGGUAAAAUGCGUAGAGAUCUGGAGGAAUACCGAUGGCGAAGGCAGCCAUCUGGCCUAACACUGACGCUGAGGUACGAAAGCAUGGGGAGCAAACAGG
This 429-nucleotide ribosomal RNA is filed under the name Pseudomonadota bacterium. RNAcentral's name for it is "Proteobacteria bacterium partial 16S ribosomal RNA". It matches the Rfam family "Bacterial small subunit ribosomal RNA", at positions 355 to 776 of the family's 1533-position model. The record is from RNAcentral. Lineage: Bacteria; Pseudomonadati; Pseudomonadota.